Heterocephalus glaber (naked mole-rat) is the source of this 1204-nucleotide long non-coding RNA. The record is from Ensembl. NCBI's taxonomy places the organism in Eukaryota, Metazoa, Chordata, Mammalia, Rodentia, Bathyergidae.
CUUCACACAUGGAGCUGGGGUCCCAAAAGGUGCCCAGUGUUUCCCCCUGGACUCCGUCCCUCUCCUGAGGUCUUCCCAGUCACUGCCGCCUUGGGAGGGCCCCAUUUCCUCCGGCCCUGCCUGCCCUCCUCAUGGGUUUGGCUUGUUUUGAGACAGGAUCUUGCUACAUUACGUAGUUCAUGCUGGCCUCAAACUUGUGAUUCUCCUGCCUCGGCCUCCCGAGUGCUGGGAUUACAGGUGUGUGCUACUGUGCCCAGUGCUUUCUCUGGGCUCCAGGGAUGUUCAUACGUCUUCCUUUGCCAGGAGCAUGAGUGGGAAGGGAAACAGCACCCCUUGCAGAAGCCCGGGUGUGGGAGGGGUCCCCCCAGCAGCCUGCCCAGCUCUGGCCCUGGGCCAGCAUCGCUACCUCCUCGGGGUGGUUCUGGCCCAGGUCCAGCUGGUGCCGUGUCACCCUGCCCACCCCCACAGGCCACGAACGGCCCAGGAGGAGAAAUGCAGUUGGGCCAGCCAGGCCUGCAGGUCACUUCAGCCGCCAUCUGUUCCAGUCCCAGCCCUGCCACUUGCUAGCAUGUGGCCUUAGCAAGCUCCUCCUCUGAGCCUGAGCCUCCCGCUGUGUCAGGAGACCACCUGCUUGGGAUCUGGUGGGCCUCCACAUGGCACCCAGCAGAGGCCACCAGCCCACGUGGAACGCUUGGUAGGAGGCGCCCACCCGACUGCAUCAGAGCCAGCAAGGCAGGGAGCCAGAAACUGGCCAAGAGAGGAAGCCACCAGAUGGGGCUGGAAGGGAGCUCUGACAGCCUCUCCUCACCUGGGUCUGCUCAUCAGCAUCGGCCAGCCUGGUGGGGACGGUGGCGCCCAAACGGACAUGCAGCAAGCAGGCCUCAUCUUCCUGCUUGGGGUAGUCCCACUCCAUCUCCUCCAGACAGGUUCCUGUGGGCAGAGCAGGGUCAGCCCUGUGAUGUUCACUCUUCCUUAGGAUGAAGGCAAACCAUUCCCGGUCCUGUUGCCCUAUCAUCUUUGGCUUUUCCUUGACCCUAGGCUGCCAAAGGUAGAAGAUUUAAAACCCUGAACUGGGCCAGGGAUUUAGCUCAGUGGUACCGUGCCUGCCUCAAAAGCACAAGGUCCUGAGUUCGAUCCCUGGUACCAAAUAAAUAAAUAAAUAAAAAUAAAACCCUGAACCAAUACCCUCUUCUCCCAAAUUGAC